This 252-nucleotide ribosomal RNA is filed under the name uncultured bacterium. RNAcentral describes it as "partial 16S ribosomal RNA". It matches the Rfam family "Bacterial small subunit ribosomal RNA", at positions 524 to 776 of the family's 1533-position model. The record is from RNAcentral.
UACAGAGGUCUCAAGCGUUGUUCGGAUUCAUUGGGCGUAAAGGGUGCGUAGGCGGCGCGGUAAGUCGGGUGUGAAAUCUUGGAGCUUAACUCCGAAACUGCAUUCGAUACUGCCGUGCUUGAGGACUGGAGAGGAGACUGGAAUUACGGUGUAGCGGUGAAAUGCGUAGAUAUCGUAAGGAAGACCAGUGGCGAAGGCGGGUCUCUGGACAGUUCCUGACGCUGAGGCACGAAGGCCAGGGGAGCAAACGGG